AGCGUACACGGUGGAUGCCUUGGCAGUCAGAGGCGAUGAAGGACGUAUUAACUUGCGAUAAGCCCAGAUUAGGUAGUAAAAACCACUUGAGUCUGGGAUUUCCGAAUGGGGAAACCCACUAGCAUAAGCUAGUAUCGCUGCGUGAAUACAUAGCGCAGCGAGGCGAACCGGGGGAACUGAAACAUCUAAGUACCCCGAGGAAAAGAAAUCAACCGAGAUUCCGAAAGUAGCGGCGAGCGAAAUUGGACUAGCCCUUAAGCUUUUUAUGCGUAAGGUGAAACUUCUGGAAAGUUGUGCGAUACAGGGUGAUAGCCCCGUAACCGGCAACGCAUAUAAAGUGAAAUCGAGUAGGGCGGGACACGUGAUAUCCUGUCUGAAUAUGGGGGGACCAUCCUCCAAGGCUAAAUACUACUGACUGACCGAUAGAGA
RNAcentral lists this ribosomal RNA (429 nucleotides) under Escherichia coli. Its description in RNAcentral is "partial 23S ribosomal RNA". It matches the Rfam family "Bacterial large subunit ribosomal RNA", at positions 14 to 493 of the family's 2925-position model. The record is from RNAcentral. Lineage: Bacteria; Pseudomonadati; Pseudomonadota; Gammaproteobacteria; Enterobacterales; Enterobacteriaceae.